Cavia porcellus (domestic guinea pig) is the source of this 915-nucleotide long non-coding RNA. RefSeq lists it as uncharacterized. NCBI's taxonomy places the organism in Eukaryota, Metazoa, Chordata, Mammalia, Rodentia, Caviidae. The transcript has 3 exons. The record is from RefSeq and is a predicted model, not a curated record.
GGUAUAACAGGCCCUUCGACCGCGUCCACCGGGGUGCCCUCGACUCCCUGCCCCCUCACCUGGCCCGGACGCGGACCUGAACCCGCGGAGCCGGACCUGAGGAACACUGAUAAGGGAACCAUCCUCCCUCGCCCUAGACUCCAACUGUAGCAACAAGGAGCUGAGGCGGAGACAAACUGAACAAUCCUUCAACACUGUUAUGAAGACAAAAUAUCACCACACAAGUCCACUUGAUCCAAUGACCCUUUGGAAAUGACUGCUUGGGCUCUCAAUUUAUACAUCUUUUCUCUGAGAUUUAAGAGGAAGAGAAAGUAAAUAUUUACCAGAAUUUUCAGCCAGCCGUAACUUUCCGCAACAAAGGUACCGUCUCCAUUGCUUCCUGACAUUCUCUUUUGCUACACAGUAGAAGAUGAAUAUGAAGGAUCCUAAAGGGGGAGAAAAGAACCAUAACAUAAUGAAUUCCAAAUUAAGGUCAUAUGAAUGUCAUAUGCUUACUUUGCAUAAGACAUAAAAUCUUUGGCAGCUAUGGGUAAAGUGAAAUUUUGCAAAUUGAAGCUUUCUAUGGAAAAGCAUCCAGGGGAUGCUUCUCUUUUAAUUUUUGUAAAAUAAAGACUAUUUUAAAAAGAAUGAUAACUUUACAUUUUUGAAAAUACAUUCACUGUCUGUCUUCUCACAUCUGAUCCUUGGCCCUUCCCUGUCUUCCACCUACCUAGUAUUCUAGCCACGACUUUGGCUGCUACCUCUCCUUCCCUUUGGAUUCAUAAUCCAUUUCGAAAUUCUGUUAAAUGUCAUCUUUUCUAGUCUCACAUCCAUCUUUCCCACCGUCCUGCCUACUGCUGGGCUCCUUGCUUGGGCCUUGCCCUAUGUGCAGCAAGCCUGAGGGUGGCAGCAAUGGGCAAAUCUACUACCUCCCUU